Molecule: ribosomal RNA, 253 nt
Filed under: uncultured bacterium
Lineage: Bacteria
Description: partial 16S ribosomal RNA
Rfam family: Bacterial small subunit ribosomal RNA
Source: RNAcentral
GACAGAGGUGCCGAGCGUUAGGCGGAAUCACUGGGCUUAAAGCGUGUGUAGGCGGGUUUCUAAGUACCUUGUGAAAUCCCAUGGCUCAACCAUGGAACUGCUUGGUAUACUGGGAAUCUUGAGCCACUUAGGGGCUACCGGAACAAAUGGUGGAGCGGUGAAAUGCGUAGAUAUCAUUUGGAACGCCAAUGGUGAAAACAGGUAGCUGGGAGUGUGCUGACGCUGAGACACGAAAGCCAGGGGAGCGAACAGG